RNAcentral lists this ribosomal RNA (163 nucleotides) under Hymenodictyon floribundum. Its description in RNAcentral is "5.8S ribosomal RNA". It matches the Rfam family "5.8S ribosomal RNA". Rfam says of the family: 5.8S ribosomal RNA (5.8S rRNA) is a component of the large subunit of the eukaryotic ribosome. It is transcribed by RNA polymerase I as part of the 45S precursor that also contains 18S and 28S rRNA. Lineage: Eukaryota; Viridiplantae; Streptophyta; Magnoliopsida; Gentianales; Rubiaceae. RNAcentral also lists the same sequence under 31 other names. The record is from RNAcentral.
CAAACGACUCUCGGCAACGGAUAUCUCGGCUCUCGCAUCGAUGAAGAACGUAGCGAAAUGCGAUACUUGGUGUGAAUUGCAGAAUCCCGCGAACCAUCGAGUCUUUGAACGCAAGUUGCGCCCGAAGCCGUCAGGCCGAGGGCACGUCUGCCUGGGCGUCACG